GGGGAUAUAGCUCAGUUGCUAGAGCACCUGCCUUGCAUGCACAAAGCCCUGGGUUCAAACCAUAGCACCACCA
This 73-nucleotide transfer RNA is filed under the name Urocitellus parryii (Arctic ground squirrel). Its description in RNAcentral is "Spermophilus parryii (Arctic ground squirrel) tRNA". It matches the Rfam family "tRNA". Rfam says of the family: Transfer RNA (tRNA) molecules are approximately 80 nucleotides in length. The record is from Rfam by way of RNAcentral. Lineage: Eukaryota; Metazoa; Chordata; Mammalia; Rodentia; Sciuridae. RNAcentral also lists the same sequence under 2 other names.